Long non-coding RNA from Triticum aestivum (bread wheat), 2112 nucleotides. RefSeq lists it as uncharacterized. The record is from RefSeq and is a predicted model, not a curated record. NCBI's taxonomy places the organism in Eukaryota, Viridiplantae, Streptophyta, Magnoliopsida, Poales, Poaceae. The transcript has 4 exons.
GGUGUGUCACAUUCAAUUGGCCUACUGGCCGGGCCUCAAACCCUAGCGAAGGGUCUCUCCACCCCCGUCCCCAUGGCUGCAGUUCGUCCCCAUCCCUUUCGCUCUAACCCCGCCAAAGCCGCCGCUCCUGCAGUCCUUCGGCGUCAUCCAAUCUCACGGCAGACUCCCGCGGUAGGAGAGGAGAGUAUGAACGAUGUUCCUUGCAGCGGCAGGGAUGAGGAGCCCUUUCUGUUUCCAUCUCCUUUCUUUCAUGGAUGUCGUGUCUUCUUUGCCCGUCAGAGCCCAGAUCUGUCUAUUGUUUGUACUGGGAGAAGAAAAUAUACAAUUCAUUGUGGCACUGUUAACGCUAGCAUCAGGAGGUUGUUCAUGUCAUCAAAAUGUGCAACCAGAAUGAAAGUGCAACUACACUGCAUCUUCUUUGAGACAGGGUAUCCUUAAAAAGAAAUGUAGGACGAAGGAGGGUAGAGGAGAUCGAGGAGGGAGGGGGCCGUUGCGAGGAGAUAGUUGGAGGUCAAGCAUCGGCACUGGAGACGAGGACCCGCGAGCGGGAGAGGCGACGCUGGGCUAGCCAUUUCCACUGCGUCGGCAGAAGCCAGCGGAGUGAGCUCGUCAGCAUGGCAUCAAACUAUACAAUGAAGUCAGAGUCCGGCCAGAUCGUUUGCAAGUGAAAUAAGGAACCGACAACUGAAUAUUUUUAUGCCAACACACUUCUUGCUGGUGUGUCCUUUUAUCAAUAACAGGCCUGCUUCUCAAGAGAUGCAAACUGUACCCGAUUAAGAAUGAGAACAACAACCUUUGCUUCUACUAGGUACUUUCAUUUAUUGACAUUCACCUGUUUGUGUUGUUAACUUUAGUUCCAUCUAUCCAUUAAUUAGAUAUUAUUUUUUGUAUAUUUCAAUUAAGCAUUGGGGAAGAGUAGCAAAUCAUAAAUUUGAAACAUGUAUCCUCGCAUCUGUGACUGUCUUAUAGUCCAUGCAUAAAUAGUUACUACUUCAUUGGCGCAGUAUUAUUUGCCGAAAUCCCUUUGGGCCAAUAUUUGACAUGUCUUUAUUUCCUCCUUUCCCUUAUACAAUAUUAAAUUUUGGCCUGGGCUUAUGUUUUUACUACCCCUAUCAGAUCAUUAUUUAUUGUAAUUUUUGUGCAAUUUUCUAUAUCGCAUGUUCUGAUUGCACUAAAACUUUCUUCUGCUAACAUAAUUCUUUCAUGUUAUGAGGUUUAUCUAUCCAUUUUUUUGCAUGUGAAGAUAUAAAUGAGAUUUUUUAGAUAAAAGGCUGAGCUCCGAGGAAACAUGCCUUGAAAAGGUUCAUGCAUAGUUUGGAAAGCUAAUUAGUUGAAUGUUGUGUCCGAUAUUCUUAAGCAUCUCCUCGGUUUUAUCAUUACCAAUUUGAGACGAUUUUCUCUGUCUCGGUUUAAGGCUAUUUAGCCUUCAGUUUGUGACCAAUCUCAUAAUUUGCUCUAAAUGAUAAGUUUUCACUACUCCAGUGGUUUGGCCUGUUAGAAACAGUUGUAGUGUACUCAUUUGUUGGGAGUGUGAGUGCUCAUCGCACUAUGUAUUGUAGAAAUCUACCGGAUUAGUCAACGGUAUGCUGCACCGUUUGCUUCAAAACAAUCCUGAUAUAUUUACUGAUUAUACAGUUCUACGAUUUCCAUUGGUCAUUUUUCUCUUUGUGUUCUCAACUCUAUAUGAUAUCUAUUUUUCUUAAAUUUUGUGCAGCAAAUGGGUAAGAACUAUUACAUUGUACAUGCUACUUAUCACCUCCAUUGUUGUGUUGUGAACAAAGUUGAACUGUUUGUGCUUGUGAAAAAGGUAGAAAUUACUAAUGCCAUGUCAUGAGAUAUGGCCUUUUUUAAUGGCAUACCAUAUGAAGAUUCUUUUAGUCAGUAGAACUUCUAUGCAUGCCUUCAGCACAUUACAUCUUCAUUCGGUGAAGGAUGUCAUCAAAAGUGAAGGAUGGCAUUGGAAUUUUCUUCAUUAUUUAACCAAGUGAAGGAUAGCAUCACACAAUGAUGUAGUCUAGGAUAGGGAUACCUACAUUUUUCUAUUUUUGCACAACACAUUGCAAUAUAGUAUACAUGAUUUUAACUUGUACUUUUGAUGAAUUUUAUCUCAAG